This 469-nucleotide ribosomal RNA is filed under the name uncultured bacterium. RNAcentral's name for it is "partial 16S ribosomal RNA". It matches the Rfam family "Bacterial small subunit ribosomal RNA", at positions 28 to 507 of the family's 1533-position model. The record is from RNAcentral.
GACGAACGCUGGCGGCGUGCUUAACACAUGCAAGUCGAACGGAAAGGCCCUGCUUGCAGGGUGCUCGAGUGGCGAACGGGUGAGUAACACGUGGGUGAUCUGCCCCUUACUUUGGGAUAAGCCUGGGAAACUGGGUCUAAUACUGGAGAGGACCAUGCUGUAGGUGGUGUGGUGGAAAGAUUAGUUUCGGUAAGGGAUGAGCUCGCGGCCUAUCAGCUUGUUGGUGGGGUAAUGGCCUACCAAGGCGUCGACGGGUAGCCGGACUGAGAGGGUGGACGGCGACAUUGGGACUGAGAUACGGCCCAGACUCCUACGGGAGGCAGCAGUGGGGGAUAUUGCACAAUGAGCGCAAGCCUGAUGCAGCGACGCCGCGUGGGGGAUGACGGCCUUCGGGUUGUAGUCGCCUUCCAGCCAUGACGAAGCCCUUGUGGUGACGGUAGUGGUAGAAGAAGCACCGGCUAACUACGUG